RNAcentral lists this ribosomal RNA (2904 nucleotides) under Escherichia fergusonii. Its description in RNAcentral is "23S ribosomal RNA". It matches the Rfam family "Bacterial large subunit ribosomal RNA". The record is from RNAcentral. Lineage: Bacteria; Pseudomonadati; Pseudomonadota; Gammaproteobacteria; Enterobacterales; Enterobacteriaceae. RNAcentral also lists the same sequence under 1 other name.
GGUUAAGCGACUAAGCGUACACGGUGGAUGCCCUGGCAGUCAGAGGCGAUGAAGGACGUGCUAAUCUGCGAUAAGCGUCGGUAAGGUGAUAUGAACCGUUAUAACCGGCGAUUUCCGAAUGGGGAAACCCAGUGUGAUUCGUCACACUAUCAUUAACUGAAUCCAUAGGUUAAUGAGGCGAACCGGGGGAACUGAAACAUCUAAGUACCCCGAGGAAAAGAAAUCAACCGAGAUUCCCCCAGUAGCGGCGAGCGAACGGGGAGGAGCCCAGAGCCUGAAUCAGUGUGUGUGUUAGUGGAAGCGUCUGGAAAGGCGCGCGAUACAGGGUGACAGCCCCGUACACAAAAAUGCACAUACUGUGAGCUCGAUGAGUAGGGCGGGACACGUGGUAUCCUGUCUGAAUAUGGGGGGACCAUCCUCCAAGGCUAAAUACUCCUGACUGACCGAUAGUGAACCAGUACCGUGAGGGAAAGGCGAAAAGAACCCCGGCGAGGGGAGUGAAAAAGAACCUGAAACCGUGUACGUACAAGCAGUGGGAGCCUCUUUAUGGGGUGACUGCGUACCUUUUGUAUAAUGGGUCAGCGACUUAUAUUCUGUAGCAAGGUUAACCGAAUAGGGGAGCCGAAGGGAAACCGAGUCUUAACUGGGCGUUAAGUUGCAGGGUAUAGACCCGAAACCCGGUGAUCUAGCCAUGGGCAGGUUGAAGGUUGGGUAACACUAACUGGAGGACCGAACCGACUAAUGUUGAAAAAUUAGCGGAUGACUUGUGGCUGGGGGUGAAAGGCCAAUCAAACCGGGAGAUAGCUGGUUCUCCCCGAAAGCUAUUUAGGUAGCGCCUCGUGAAUUCAUCUCCGGGGGUAGAGCACUGUUUCGGCAAGGGGGUCAUCCCGACUUACCAACCCGAUGCAAACUGCGAAUACCGGAGAAUGUUAUCACGGGAGACACACGGCGGGUGCUAACGUCCGUCGUGAAGAGGGAAACAACCCAGACCGCCAGCUAAGGUCCCAAAGUCAUGGUUAAGUGGGAAACGAUGUGGGAAGGCCCAGACAGCCAGGAUGUUGGCUUAGAAGCAGCCAUCAUUUAAAGAAAGCGUAAUAGCUCACUGGUCGAGUCGGCCUGCGCGGAAGAUGUAACGGGGCUAAACCAUGCACCGAAGCUGCGGCAGCGACACUAAGUGUUGUUGGGUAGGGGAGCGUUCUGUAAGCCUGUGAAGAUGUGCUGUGAGGCAUGCUGGAGGUAUCAGAAGUGCGAAUGCUGACAUAAGUAACGAUAAAGCGGGUGAAAAGCCCGCUCGCCGGAAGACCAAGGGUUCCUGUCCAACGUUAAUCGGGGCAGGGUGAGUCGACCCCUAAGGCGAGGCCGAAAGGCGUAGUCGAUGGGAAACAGGUUAAUAUUCCUGUACUUGGUGUUACUGCGAAGGGGGGACGGAGAAGGCUAUGUUGGCCGGGCGACGGUUGUCCCGGUUUAAGCGUGUAGGCUGGUUUUCCAGGCAAAUCCGGAAAAUCAAGGCUGAGGCGUGAUGACGAGGCACUACGGUGCUGAAGCGACAAAUGCCCUGCUUCCAGGAAAAGCCUCUAAGCAUCAGGUAACAACAAAUCGUACCCCAAACCGACACAGGUGGUCAGGUAGAGAAUACCAAGGCGCUUGAGAGAACUCGGGUGAAGGAACUAGGCAAAAUGGUGCCGUAACUUCGGGAGAAGGCACGCUGAUAUGUAGGUGAAGCGACUUGCUCGUGGAGCUGAAAUCAGUCGAAGAUACCAGCUGGCUGCAACUGUUUAUUAAAAACACAGCACUGUGCAAACACGAAAGUGGACGUAUACGGUGUGACGCCUGCCCGGUGCCGGAAGGUUAAUUGAUGGGGUUAGCGGUAACGCGAAGCUCUUGAUCGAAGCCCCGGUAAACGGCGGCCGUAACUAUAACGGUCCUAAGGUAGCGAAAUUCCUUGUCGGGUAAGUUCCGACCUGCACGAAUGGCGUAAUGAUGGCCAGGCUGUCUCCACCCGAGACUCAGUGAAAUUGAACUCGCUGUGAAGAUGCAGUGUACCCGCGGCAAGACGGAAAGACCCCGUGAACCUUUACUAUAGCUUGACACUGAACAUUGAGCCUUGAUGUGUAGGAUAGGUGGGAGGCUUUGAAGUGUGGACGCCAGUCUGCAUGGAGCCGACCUUGAAAUACCACCCUUUAAUGUUUGAUGUUCUAACGUUGGCCCGUAAUCCGGGUUGCGGACAGUGUCUGGUGGGUAGUUUGACUGGGGCGGUCUCCUCCUAAAGAGUAACGGAGGAGCACGAAGGUUGGCUAAUCCUGGUCGGACAUCAGGAGGUUAGUGCAAUGGCAUAAGCCAGCUUGACUGCGAGCGUGACGGCGCGAGCAGGUGCGAAAGCAGGUCAUAGUGAUCCGGUGGUUCUGAAUGGAAGGGCCAUCGCUCAACGGAUAAAAGGUACUCCGGGGAUAACAGGCUGAUACCGCCCAAGAGUUCAUAUCGACGGCGGUGUUUGGCACCUCGAUGUCGGCUCAUCACAUCCUGGGGCUGAAGUAGGUCCCAAGGGUAUGGCUGUUCGCCAUUUAAAGUGGUACGCGAGCUGGGUUUAGAACGUCGUGAGACAGUUCGGUCCCUAUCUGCCGUGGGCGCUGGAGAACUGAGGGGGGCUGCUCCUAGUACGAGAGGACCGGAGUGGACGCAUCACUGGUGUUCGGGUUGUCAUGCCAAUGGCACUGCCCGGUAGCUAAAUGCGGAAGAGAUAAGUGCUGAAAGCAUCUAAGCACGAAACUUGCCCCGAGAUGAGUUCUCCCUGACCCUUUAAGGGUCCUGAAGGAACGUUGAAGACGACGACGUUGAUAGGCCGGGUGUGUAAGCGCAGCGAUGCGUUGAGCUAACCGGUACUAAUGAACCGUGAGGCUUAACCUU